AUUGAACGCUGGCGGCAUGCCUUACACAUGCAAGUCGAACGCGAAAGGGGGCAACCCCGAGUAGAGUGGCGAACGGGUGAGCAAUACAUCGGAACACUUCCUGUAGCGGGGGACAACCACGAGAAAUCGGGGCUAAUACCGCAUACGAUCUACGGAUGAAAGUGGGGGACCGCAAGGCCUCACACUAUAGGAGUGGCCGAUGCCGGAUUAGCUAGUUGGCGGGGUAAAAGCCCACCAAGGCGGCGAUCCGUAGCUGGUUUGAGAGAACGACCAGCCACACUGGGACUGAGACACGGCCCAGACUCCUACGGGAGGCAGCAGUGGGGAAUUUUGGACAAUGGGCGAAAGCCUGAUCCAGCCAUGCCGCGUGAGUGAAGAAGGCCUUCGGGUUGUAAAGCUCUUUCGGCGGGGACGAAAUGGCGCGGGCGAAUAUCCCGCGUCGAUGACGGUACCCGAAGAAGAAGGACCGGCUAACUACGUGC
Molecule: ribosomal RNA, 482 nt
Filed under: uncultured bacterium
Lineage: Bacteria
Description: bacterial SSU rRNA
Rfam family: Bacterial small subunit ribosomal RNA
Source: RNAcentral